Molecule: ribosomal RNA, 253 nt
Filed under: uncultured bacterium
Lineage: Bacteria
Description: partial 16S ribosomal RNA
Rfam family: Bacterial small subunit ribosomal RNA
Source: RNAcentral
UACGAAGGGGGCUAGCGUUGCUCGGAAUCACUGGGCGUAAAGCGCACGUAGGCGGCUUUUUAAGUCAGAGGUGAAAUCCUGGAGCUCAACUCCAGAACUGCCUUUGAUACUGGAGAGCUUGAGUCCGGGGGAGGUGAGUGGAACUGCGAGUGUAGAGGUGAAAUUCGUAGAUAUUCGCAAGAACACCAGUGGCGAAGGCGGCUCACUGGCCCGGUACUGACGCUGAGGUGCGAAAGCCAGGGGAGCAAACGGG